This 205-nucleotide ribosomal RNA is filed under the name Clostridioides difficile. RNAcentral describes it as "partial 23S ribosomal RNA". It matches the Rfam family "Bacterial large subunit ribosomal RNA", at positions 1164 to 1377 of the family's 2925-position model. Lineage: Bacteria; Bacillati; Bacillota; Clostridia; Peptostreptococcales; Peptostreptococcaceae. The record is from RNAcentral.
CCGAAGAUUUCCGGGGCUAAAACUUACUACCGAAGCUACGGCAUCAGUAAUGAUGGGUAGGGGAGCUUCCCAUACGGGUUGAAGCAUGACCGUAAGGACAUGGGGACAGUAUGGGAGUGAGAAUGUUGGCAUGAGUAGCGAGAUGUGGGUGAGAAUCCCACAGGCCGUAAACCCAAGGUUUCCAGGGGAAGGUUCGUCCGCCCUG